GGGAGUGUAGAGGGCUGCUUGCUGGCUACACAUGGGCUUGCAUUCUUCAAGCCAUUCAUUCAGCAAGUACUUACUAAGCUGCUACUAUAUGCCAGGCACCCAUCUAGGCACUGGGGAUAUAGCAGGAAAGAAAUCCUCUUCAAGGAACUUCAAAUGUGACCAUUUGACAUGAAAUGUGUCAUGAUGGGAAUAGAGCACCGGCUUAGAAAGGGCUCUUGUGCCUGAGGGGCUGGUGAGGUGAAGAGAAACUUUCUGGGGGAGAGAAUUACGGGGCCAAGCCCUGGGCCUGAGAAGGGGUCUCUUGGUGAACAGAGGCAGGGAAUAAGAGGGGGAAGCAAGGUAAGACCAUCUGGGACAGUGUGGCAUGGGGAGGGAACAGGUGACCAGACAGGUGGCAGGACCUCAUCCCACUGGAUGCUCUGCUGGUGCCUUUGCCUGAAGUGCAGUUUGCCACGGAUCAGAUCCAAGCUACAGUUGCGAUCUGUGCUACAGUUGGGUCAAUGCCGAAUCCUUAACCCAGCUGGAGAAUUGAAACUGCGUCCCAGCACUCCAGAGAUGCCACCCAUCCGACUGCACCACAGUGGGUAUUCUGAGUUUUUUCUAAAUUUCCCUUAAAAACACGCUUGUUUAAAUUAAAGUGCUUAUUAUAAUUAUAUAUAAAAUAACAUAUCAUCAUAGUUGAAUAUUUGGAAGAUAUAAAGUGGCAUGAAGAAUUAAAAUUUAUUCAUAAUUCAUAAUUCCACCAUCCAGGAAAGCUUCCUUCCUUUGAGCUCUCCUUUUUACCAUUCUAUUAAAAAACCUACAUGGGGAGUUCCCGUCAUAGUGCAGUGGUUAACGAAUCCAACUAGGAACCAUGAGGUUGGGGGUUCGAUCCCUGGCCUCGCUCAGUGGGUUGGGGAUCCGGCAUUGCCAUGGGCUGUGGUGUAGGUCAUAGAUGCAGCUUGGAUCUGGCAUUGCUGUGGCUAUGGUGUAGGCCAGCAGCUAUAGCUCCGAUUAGACCCCUAGCCUGGGAACCUCCAUAUGCCACGGGUGUGGCCCUAAAAAGACAAAAAGACCAAAAAUAAAUAAAUAAAUAAAUAAAUAAAUAAAAUAAUA
Molecule: long non-coding RNA, 1095 nt
Filed under: Sus scrofa (pig)
Lineage: Eukaryota; Metazoa; Chordata; Mammalia; Artiodactyla; Suidae
Description: lncRNA (ENSSSCG00025015610.1, ENSSSCG00050043034.1)
Source: RNAcentral